Molecule: ribosomal RNA, 125 nt
Filed under: Trichosporon sp. 'multisporum'
Lineage: Eukaryota; Fungi; Basidiomycota; Tremellomycetes; Trichosporonales; Trichosporonaceae
Description: Trichosporon multisporum partial small subunit ribosomal RNA
Rfam family: Eukaryotic small subunit ribosomal RNA
Source: RNAcentral
CCUUUGUACACACCGCCCGUCGCUACUACCGAUUGAAUGGCUUAGUGAGACCUCCGGAUUGGCAUUAAGAAGCCGGCAACGGCAUCUUUUGGCUGAGAAGUUGGUCAAACUUGGUCAUUUAGAGG